AUGACACCCUCACCACCGCCCUUGGAGUCUAGCCAGACCAACUUUGUGGUGUGUGCAGGUUUGGAUGCCGCGGUCGCUCGCUCGCCUAUGACCAUUGGGCAAGUGGUGCCCCUAGGUGGAGAUGUUGUUGGGACUGAUGCGUUGGCACCUUGUUCCGAUGCUCUCUUUGCAAAAGAGCUUUGCAACUUGCUCUCUAGCUUGGAGGCGGCUAGCCCUGGGUCUGGUAAGGCGGUUGCGUACAUCCUGACCGGAAAGUUUAACGAAGACAAGAUCAAGAAGGUGGAGAAGUCUCUCAAAAGCAAAAACAAGAAGAGUGAUGCCUUAGGGAAGGCGUCUGCGGCUGCUUAA
This 348-nucleotide ribosomal RNA is filed under the name Triticum aestivum (bread wheat). RNAcentral's name for it is "partial small subunit ribosomal RNA". Lineage: Eukaryota; Viridiplantae; Streptophyta; Magnoliopsida; Poales; Poaceae. The record is from RNAcentral.